AGCUCAAUCGGUAGAGCGUAAGACUCUUAAUCUUAAGGUCGCGGGUUCGACCCCCGC
Molecule: transfer RNA, 57 nt
Filed under: Cryoendolithus antarcticus
Lineage: Eukaryota; Fungi; Ascomycota; Dothideomycetes; Cladosporiales; Cladosporiaceae
Description: Rachicladosporium antarcticum tRNA
Rfam family: tRNA
About the family: Transfer RNA (tRNA) molecules are approximately 80 nucleotides in length. Their secondary structure includes four short double-helical elements and three loops (D, anti-codon, and T loops). Further hydrogen bonds mediate the characteristic L-shaped molecular structure. tRNAs have two regions of fundamental functional importance: the anti-codon, which is responsible for specific mRNA codon recognition, and the 3' end, to which the tRNAs corresponding amino acid is attached (by aminoacyl-tRNA synthetases). tRNAs cope with the degeneracy of the genetic code in two manners: having more than one tRNA (with a specific anti-codon) for a particular amino acid; and 'wobble' base-pairing, i.e. permitting non-standard base-pairing at the 3rd anti-codon position.
Source: Rfam by way of RNAcentral